This 449-nucleotide ribosomal RNA is filed under the name uncultured bacterium. RNAcentral describes it as "partial 16S ribosomal RNA". It matches the Rfam family "Bacterial small subunit ribosomal RNA", at positions 29 to 523 of the family's 1533-position model. The record is from RNAcentral.
AGCGAACGCUGGCGGCAGGCCUAACACAUGCAAGUCGAACGAACUCUUCGGAGUUAGUGGCGGACGGGUGAGUAACACGUGGGAACGUGCCUUUAGGUUCGGAAUAACUCAGGGAAACUUGUGCUAAUACCGAAUGUGCCCUUCGGGGGAAAGAUUUAUCGCACUUAGAGCGGCCCGCGUCUGAUUAGCUAGUUGGUGAGGUAAAGGCUCACCAAGGCGACGAUCAGUAGCUGGUCUGAGAGGAUGAUCAGCCACAUUGGGACUGCGACACGGCCCAAACUCCUACGGGAGGCAGCAGUGGGGAAUCUUGCGCAAUGGGCGAAAGCCUGACGAAGCCAUGCCGCGUGAAUGAUGAAGGUCUUAGGAUUGUAAAAUUCUUUCACCGGGGACGAUAAUGACGGUACCCGGAGAAGAAGCCCCGGCUAACUUCGUGCCAGCCGCCGCAGUAA